CCUUGGGAAGAAACACCAGGGGACAGUAAGCAUUUGCAGCAGCACACCCCGGGAGCACCCCUUCCUCCAUCCCUCUCCCACAACACUGCCACAUGCAUGAGCACACAGAGUAGAAACUUUUCUUUAACUUACAAAAUCAGACACAAACUUAAAUGUGUUUUGAUUUUACUGAGGCGCAGACCUGCAGCCUCCUUCACUCAAUGCUCUUUAUUAACUAAGCAUUUUGUAUCCCCUCACCCAAUUUCAUCUUACAUACACAAGUCUCACUGUGACUCAGCCACUUGUGUCUUCCUAUAAGACACUUGGUGUGUCUUCCUAUGACACACUCCUACCACUAUGAGUUUAAGAGUACCAAGUACUGACAGUUUGUGUCAGUGCCCUACAUGCUCAAGAGCACAAGCUGCCUAGAAGGUUUUCAAGGCAGUAUCACUACCAGUCCUGCUAUACCAACACUGAGUCCCCAUCUACCUCGUUCCUGGGAACCCAUGUUACACACAGGGUGUGAAAAUGAACCAAAACACUUGGCUACCACACUGGGGCUGGAGUGGCAUGCACAGUGCCAGGCAGUGCCUUAUCCCUUCAGGAGCUCAAGUGCAUGUCUUAGCAGCUGCUGCCCAGGACCCGUGGAGCUCUGCGAGGUGAGUUGUGCUCGCUCUUGCUCCACCAAGUGACACAUGUUUGAGGCAUAGUGGUCAGUGCAAAGAUGCAACCGGCAAGUUACCG
Molecule: long non-coding RNA, 723 nt
Organism: Passer domesticus (house sparrow)
Lineage: Eukaryota; Metazoa; Chordata; Aves; Passeriformes; Passeridae
Exons: 3
Source: RefSeq, a predicted model, not a curated record